RNAcentral lists this long non-coding RNA (1195 nucleotides) under Brassica napus (rape). RNAcentral describes it as "long non-coding RNA (BNAP_LNC013995)". Lineage: Eukaryota; Viridiplantae; Streptophyta; Magnoliopsida; Brassicales; Brassicaceae. The record is from RNAcentral.
GACUGGAGUUUAUCUAUUACUGAUCUUGCAUGUGUUUGGAAUGUCUAACAGAGCUAACUUCACUGACUGAAACUCAUAUUGAGAUGAGUUGGACCUUUCCACACGUUAUACCAAGCACAAAAGUUUUCUGUCUCUGUGCCAUCGAUCGACGAAGAGGUGCUUACGUCGAUAAACAAAUGGGUGCUAUUGUCGAUCGACAAAGAUUUACUCAUGUCGAUCGACAUUCGAGACAAAAGGGUACGCACAUUCUUUUCUCUUGUCUAACAUCUAACUUAGUACUUAUGAUUUAUUCUCUAACCAAUCUUAGACUGGAUAUCACUGGGGACAGUGAAGUUUAAGUUUGGGGGAGGUAUUUACUGAUACUAGUUUGUUAUAUGAUUUCUAUUUAAAAAAUGUUUCCAAAGAAAAAAAAUGUUUUAUCGAGUCAAGAAGGGGAUAAUGAACUUCUUCAAAGUUUUCACUUGUCAUCUAACGACUCUAUAACGCCACUCUUACACUAACUGGCUGCAGAAAGCACUAUAGAUACUAAAGUGGAUUAACAUAUCAACUAUGACAACACUUUCUGAGAAUGUUUGAAGAAACCAAUGCUGACCUCGAACCUAAUUGAUCUCAACUCUCCUUGUCUUGGGGCUUGCUAUACAUUGAAUCGGAUUCCUCUUUCAGGCAUUCAAAAAAAAAGAUUGAAAUGAUUUCCUGCGGUUUAGAGAGAUAGGAGUGUCUCCUUCGACACCAUUAUUCUUCUCUAAUGGAAUGAUCACACAUCGUUGGAAGCGAGGGGUAGGUACAUUACCGAUGACCUCACUAUUCGCCUACACUUUGCCAAUGUAAGAAAAUUGAAAAGAAGAUGAAUAAGAUGCACUGCAUCAGCAUCAUUUUUCAUUGGAUUUGAGAUAAAAGGAUUCAGAGAAGAGAGAUAUAGGGAGAAAAGAAACCUAGAAUAAGACUACGUGUCUACUCAGAUACCUGCUUGGGUAAGAGUCCAUGUGUCCUUUGAUCGAUACUCCCAAGAUUUAGCCUACACUUUUAUUUAUGCAAGAAAUAAGGUUAGUAGAGGAUAAUGUCAGAUAAGAUAUGUUCAGUUGUUGGCUAGGUGAAUUUGGUUGCUAUACUAGGAUAAUGUAUGAUGUGUUUCUAAAGUUAGGAUUUCAUUGAUGCGAUUAGCAACAUUAUAAAAGUGAUGAUUCUUAGUUUUAAC